AUUGAUAUGAUGUCCCAGCGUGUUGUCUCUAUUCUAUCUCAGCAGUUUACCACUUCAGUCUUUGCACAGAGAUCGACUUCCUAGGGUGACUCGGACCAGACUCUGAUCCCUCAUAUUUUUACUAUUUUUCAGAUGCUUACUGAUCAGUCGAUACACAUUGAGCAGCUUGAGGGAUGUACUUUGAGAUUGACAGGCAGAGUAUUAGAC
Molecule: long non-coding RNA, 207 nt
Filed under: Elaeis guineensis (African oil palm)
Lineage: Eukaryota; Viridiplantae; Streptophyta; Magnoliopsida; Arecales; Arecaceae
Description: long non-coding RNA (EGUI_LNC077673)
Source: RNAcentral